Molecule: microRNA precursor, 61 nt
Filed under: Ornithorhynchus anatinus (platypus)
Lineage: Eukaryota; Metazoa; Chordata; Mammalia; Monotremata; Ornithorhynchidae
Description: Oan-Mir-430-P54_pre stem-loop
Source: RNAcentral
AUCCAAUCUGGGAGCACUCUCCAGUGACUUGAAGAAAGGAAAGUGCCACCUGACUGGAUGA